RNAcentral lists this long non-coding RNA (1085 nucleotides) under Medicago truncatula (barrel medic). Its description in RNAcentral is "long non-coding RNA (MTRU_LNC004009)". The record is from RNAcentral. Lineage: Eukaryota; Viridiplantae; Streptophyta; Magnoliopsida; Fabales; Fabaceae.
GAAAACGUGAUUUUAGCCUAUAUGGUUACAAAGUUAGAUAAAUGGGAAGGUUGAACGUGUCCCAUGAUUUAAAACAUGAUGUGAACCUAUUUGGUUUGUAUUCUGUUAAAUAAAAAUAUUGGAAUGACCUUUGUCGCGAAAAUGAGAUUUUGUCCUAUAUGGUUAAAUGUUUGAUAAAUUUGAAGGUUGAACUUGUCCUUUAAUGCGAAACAUGAUGUUUGUACCUAUUUUGUUUAAAUUCGGUAAAAUGAAAGUAUUGGAAUGAUCCUUGUUGCCAAAAUGAGAUUUUAGUCUACAAGUUUGACAAAUGAGAAGUUUGUACUUGUCCCUCAAUCUUUAUGUAAAACAUGAUAUUUGAAAAUAUUUGUUUUUAAAUUCGGUAAUUAGGAAGUAUUGGAAUGACCCUUGUCGCGAAAAUGAGUUUUUUGUCUAUAUGGUUACAAUGUUUGAUAAAUGGAAAGGUUGAACUUGUCCACUGAUUUGGAACAUGAUAUGUUAGCCUAUUUUGUUUUAAAUUCGGUAAAAUGUAAGUCUUGAAAAGACCUUUGUCGCGAAAAAUGAAAUUGUACUCUAUAUGGUUAAUAGUUUGAUAAAUAUGAAGGUUGAAUUUGUCCCUCGAUGUCCUAUGAUGAGUAACAUAAUAUUUGAACCUCUUCGGUUUUAUAUUCGGUAAACCGAAAGUAAUGGGAUGAUCCUUCUCGCAAAGACGAGAUUUUAGCUUAUGUGGCUACAAGUUUGAUAAAUAUGAAGGUUGGCCUUGUCCCUCGAUAUCCCUUGAUGCGUAACAAGAUAUUUGAACCUAUUUGGUUUUAAAUUCGGUAAAUAUAAAGUAUUGAGAUGACCCUUGUCGCGAAAACGUGAUUUUAGCCUAUAUGGUUACAAAGUUAGAUAAAUGGGAAGGUUGAACGUGUCCCAUGAUUUAAAACAUGAUGUGAACCUAUUUGGUUUGUAUUCGGUUAAAUAGAAAUAUUGGAAUGACCCUUGUCGCGAAAAUCAGUUUUUAGUUUAUAUGGUUACAAUGUUUGAUAAAUGGGAAGGUUGAACUUGUCCACUGAUUUGGAACAUGAUAUAUUAGCCUAUUUUGU